GUGUCCUCAAAAUGCUGUCUCUCUGAAGGGGCAGGCCCCUCAUUUCAACCCAUCUGCACCUGUGCAGAUCUAUCAGUCCUUCAGAACCCAGUCAAAUGACAUCUUCUGUCAUGAAGCAUUCUUUGAUACCCAGGUGUUCUUUCUCCUCUGCGAUCUUGAAGCACUUUGAGUUUGUGUAGGACCGUGACUGGAUGUCCCUCCUGCCUGCUGGACUGAGGAAGACCAGGUACUUAUAGAGACACUGACCUGGGAUCCACUCCUACUUGAUGCUUGGUAAGGGCCACAUUGGGAAGGAAGGAGGACA
RNAcentral lists this long non-coding RNA (304 nucleotides) under Marmota monax (woodchuck). Lineage: Eukaryota; Metazoa; Chordata; Mammalia; Rodentia; Sciuridae. The record is from RNAcentral.